AUUGAACGCUGGCGGCAUGCCUUACACAUGCAAGUCGAACGGUAACAGGGAGCUUGCUCCGCUGACGAGUGGCGAACGGGUGAGUAAUAUAUCGGAACGUGCCCUAGAGUGGGGGAUAACUAGUCGAAAGAUUAGCUAAUGCCGCAUACGAUCUAAGGAUGAAAGUGGGGGAUCGCAAGACCUCAUGCUCGUGGAGCGGCCGAUAUCUGAUUAGCUAGUUGUAGGGUAAAGCUACCAAGGCAUCGAUCAGUAGCUGGUCUGAGAGGACGACCAGCCACACUGGGACUGAGACACGGCCCAGACUCCUACGGGAGGCAGCAGUGGGGAAUUUUGGACAAUGGGCGCAAGGCCUGAUCCAGCAAUGCCGCGUGA
Molecule: ribosomal RNA, 372 nt
Filed under: uncultured bacterium
Lineage: Bacteria
Description: bacterial SSU rRNA
Rfam family: Bacterial small subunit ribosomal RNA
Source: RNAcentral